AUAGCAUCCUGUGGCCUUUAGAAGGACAUGAAUUUCUGAAGACUUUCUUGGAAAAAGGUCUACAGCAAGACCAAAGUUAUGAAUAGUUUGAACCAAUCAGUGCUAUGUCUAACACUGAGUGUUAAGUGCAGUUUUUUUUGAGCUGACUGUCCUGAGCUAGUAACUCCUGCCAACAAGGGCCU
This is a long non-coding RNA of Pipra filicauda (Wire-tailed manakin), 182 nucleotides long. RefSeq lists it as uncharacterized. Lineage: Eukaryota; Metazoa; Chordata; Aves; Passeriformes; Pipridae. The record is from RefSeq and is a predicted model, not a curated record. The transcript has 3 exons.